RNAcentral lists this ribosomal RNA (255 nucleotides) under uncultured bacterium. RNAcentral describes it as "partial 16S ribosomal RNA". It matches the Rfam family "Bacterial small subunit ribosomal RNA", at positions 524 to 776 of the family's 1533-position model. The record is from RNAcentral.
GACGGAGGGGGCAAGCGUUGUUCGGAAUUAUUGGGCGUAAAGGGCUCGUAGGCGGACGGGGUAAGUCUGGCGUGAAAUCUCCAUCGCCCAACGAGGAGAGGUCGCUGGAUACUGCUUGUCUGGAGUGCGGCAGGGGAGACUGGAAUUCCUGGUGUAGCGGUGAAAUGCGCAGAUAUCAGGAGGAACACCGGUGGCGAAGGCGGGUCUCUGGGCCGAUACUGACGCUGAGGAGCGAAAGCGUAGGGAGCAAACAGG